UGGGGAAAAUUGCACAAUGGGCGCAAGCCUGAUGCAGCCAUGCCGCGUGUAUGAAGAAGGCCUUCGGGUUGUAAAGUACUUUCAGCGAGGAGGAAGGCGUUGUGGUUAAUAACCGCAACGAUUGACGUUACUCGCAGAAGAAGCACCGGCUAACUCCGUGCCAGCAGCCGCGGUAAUACGGAGGGUGCAAGCGUUAAUCGGAAUUACUGGGCGUAAAGCGCACGCAGGCGGUCUGUCAAGUCGGAUGUGAAAUCCCCGGGCUCAACCUGGGAACUGCAUCCGAAACUGGCAGGCUAGAGUCUUGUAGAGGGGGGUAGAAUUCCAGGUGUAGCGGUGAAAUGCGUAGAGAUCUGGAGGAAUACCGGUGGCGAAGGCGGCCCCCUGGACAAAGACUGACGCUCAGGUGCGAAAGCGUGGGGAGCAAACA
Molecule: ribosomal RNA, 427 nt
Filed under: uncultured bacterium
Lineage: Bacteria
Description: partial 16S ribosomal RNA
Rfam family: Bacterial small subunit ribosomal RNA
Source: RNAcentral